This is a long non-coding RNA of Micropterus salmoides (largemouth bass), 2562 nucleotides long. RefSeq lists it as uncharacterized. The record is from RefSeq and is a predicted model, not a curated record. NCBI's taxonomy places the organism in Eukaryota, Metazoa, Chordata, Actinopteri, Centrarchiformes, Centrarchidae. The transcript is spliced from 2 exons.
CUCCUGAAUAAAUGCUAUAUCUGUAUUUUUAGAUUUCAAAUAUGUCGGAACCUUCCUCCUUUUAGUGGGGUUCCCACAUCCAUUUAUGUUCCAUGAUAUUAUGUUAAUGUACCGGUUAGCCAUCAUUUCUAGACAUGUAAAUACUCUUUGACCUCAGUUCUCUCACCCUGGUUUCAAUAUUAAAUAACCACAUAUUCAAGAGGUUAUUCAGAGUGUUAGGCCUUCUCAGAAAUACUGUCUUAGUGCAGAGAUAAAACAUGAAAAAUAUAAACACAUCCCUGGGUCAAAGAAACCCAGAACUCGGUGCUUCGAUCCCACGUCUUUCCUUAGCCACCUGCAGCACCUUGUCUCGGGCUGAUGAGCGCAGGAAGCGCAUCAGUAUGGUCCUGGGCGGUUGAUUCGGGCCUGGUAUGGGUGCCAAAGAGCGUUGGGCACACUCAGUUUCAAACUUGUUGCCGGAUAGCCCGAGCCCCAGAGAGAUGAUCUUUUCCACAUACUGAAUAACUUUGCCCGUCUCCUCCUUGCCCUCUUUGAGUCCCACCAUUCUUACAUUAUUUCUUCUGCUGAGGUAUUCCAGGUCUUCCACAGUGCUUCCAGUCUUUUAUCACACUUCCCCGUGCUUUCCUCCAUUCGUGUAUUUACGUAUUCCAUGUCUGAUAUCCGUUGUUCUGCCUCUCCCAGCCUCACUUGUAUGCUCCCCACCGCAUCUUCAAGCUCUUUUGUUGUCUCCUUAAUUAAGACAACAUCAGCCACCACCAUCUGAAGAGUAGCACUCAUUUUCCCUAUUUCUUCAAACACUGUCUUAUCGGCAAACACUCCUCCAGGUUUAGGGUCGUUGUCGCAUGUCGCAUGUCGGUGUCGUCGAGGUGUUGGGCUGCUCUGAAGCUAGCUUACUUCUUGUUACCGUACCUUUGAAAAAGUAUGCUUUGCUGUUGAUUGACAUUUGCCGGGAAGGUACAAAUUUUUGGUCGGAAACUGGUAUUAGUUCUGGUCUUUAACACAGGACCUCAAUUUUCAGAUUAAUAAUGAAAUGUAUGUCUCCAAAUUUGCAUAAUUAGCUGAUGGUCGUGAGGACCUCUGCUACUGUGCUGCCACAUCGCUAAUCAACUUUUUAAUAUUCAAUAUGAAUCCACUGCUUCCCAUCUUGCAUUAGUCCAGAGUUGUAACUAAACUUCACUGCCUCGUUUUAAAAUGAUGUUUGAGGAGUGCCCUCACAUCCUGUCUGGACUGGUCAUACAGAUGUUUCUUGCUGGAAUGUGCAAGUUUAAUUACAUGCAAAAAAGAAGCCAGCCCCUAGUGGAGAGGAAGAGGGGAGGAUUAUGCCGGCAGCAAGAGAGUCUUUAAUGUACUGCUCCAUAGACUCUCUCUCCGGACGCGACAGGUUGUAGGGGUGACUUGAAGGGAGAGGCGCGUCCGGGAGGAGGUCUAUGGAGCAGUCGUAGGGGCGGUGGGGGGGUAACGACAGAGCCUGAUUUUAACUGAAAACUAGAGCGAGGUCGUGAUACAGAUGUGGGACACCUGACAGGUCGGGAGGAAGGGGAGGUGGGGUAGGCCGGGGAGGAUUACCGGGGGCUCGAGCUGACAGGAGACAGGACGCAUAACAGGAGGCGCUCCAAUUCCUGAUCUUCCCCCGCGACCAAUCGAUGUUAGGGUUAUGGGUGGCUAACCAGGGGAGCGGCAGGGGAGGUGAUUAGGUGGAAGGCGAGGGACUCGUGGUGGUUCCCGGAUGUGACAAGGGCUAAUGGCGGGGUGCGAUGGGUGACGUGGUGAGGGUGUAGCUGCAAUCAAAGGCAACUCAUGCAUUUCUGUUAAAUAUGGUUCAUAUAUAUUUAUAUUUUAAUUAUGAGGUUAAAAAUCAUAUGAUUGAAAUAUUUCAUGGUCAAUAAAUAAUUUCAUGAUUAUUUAUUUUGUUAAAAACUGAGGAAAAGGGUGGAACUUAUUUUUUUGUUCCGUGCGGAAAUGAUAAUUUGCUACAGGGACGCUGUAUGGGUACACUCACUAAGAUCUAGAUGAGAGAAAUGUGCUGCAGUUUUCUCAAAAGCCAUGGAAGAUUGUUAAGGUUAUCCAUAAGUUUUGUCGUCGUGGAUUGAAGACUAAUAACCUAAGUUUACCCUCUCGGGUUCAUGUGGCCAAUGAGGUCUGUACCAUAACAUCAUUGGAAUUGGUGGUUUUGUCUGUGCUCGGCGGGGGAUUGGUGGCUGCGGUUCCAGCUGUUGGCAAAUGAUUUGUUGCUCCCUGACAGCUUGCUAUUUAGGCAGAGAAGAUGGCGGCAGCUGGCACGUGGGGGCAUCUUCCACAUCUCCCAACAGGCUACAGUUUGAUCUAGUUUAAGUAGGUUUAGGCAGCCAGUUCAGUUACUCUUCUUUUUCUCCUGUAUAUAAUAGUUAGGAAGAUCAGUUGUUUGUGGCUGGUUUUCAUUAGUUUUUUUUGAUAGGUUAGUGCUGAUUUCUAGUUAGAGGUGUUUUGUUUGUUAUGUUGGCCUUGGCUCACCCUGAAGUGUAACUUUAUCACCAUUUGUUUCAUUCUGUUAUAAAUAAAUCCACUAUUUAUUAUAUCACCGUA